UUUUUUUUUUUGUUUUAUAUCACCAUACAAACAACUUAAACACACUUUAGAGCCAUUUUUACCUAUUAAAAUCACCCCAAAACACUUCAACUUUUGGAUUAAAACUCUUGAGUCUAGAUGUUUCAAUUUGAAUUUCAAUUAUUUGGGACUAAUCUGGGUGAAAGUUUUGAGGAAUUUUGCAUCAUUUGCAUCACAAAAGCAUUACUCUACCAAUUGGAGGUAAUAUGCUUUAAGUUACUUCAUUUUUUUUUAAUUUUGCCAUUCAUGCGUUUCUUGAGUUUCUUGAUAUAUUUCGAAUGAUGAAAGUUUGAUGUGUUGUGUUGAUGUUUAUGAGUUUAUUUAUGCUUAUUUAACAUAUCUAGGCAUAUUUUUAUGAUCAAAUGUGCGAAUGUGAUGAUGUCUGCAAUGUUUUAAUCUUGUGCAUAUUCCUAUAUUAUGAUCAAUGUGAAAUUGGUUUUGAAAUGUUGUUAAGCAUAAUUAGAUAAUUCAAAUAGCCAAAAUAUAGCUUGUUUAUCAUGCCUAGGUGGGUACAUUUAUUAUAUGGUGACAUUUUAAAAAAUUUGAAUUUGUAAGCUUGGAAAAGGGAUAGUUUUGACUAAAAUAAAAAUGAUACGAACCCGCCCGAGAGUGUGAAUUCGUAUUCCACUAAACCCUAGAUCUAGAUGAAGAAAACAAGUUGGAGCGUGGAAUUGACAAGUGAUUAAUUUACGUAAUAAUUGUCUAAUACUUUAUAUUAUUUUUAGUCACUUUGGUUAUAAUAUUGGAAGAAAAUGAAUCAUUUUGGCUAUAAUUGGUGAAUAAAUGUUUUUAAGUGAUUAAAUGGGGUUUUUAUCACUUUUUACUUGGAUUUUGUGUAUUUUGACAGUUUUGACACAUUUUCGUAUUUCGGCUAUAACUUGAGCUACAAUGAUCGGAUUGGGAUGAUUUUUGAACCCAUGUGAAGAUAAGAGAUAGAUCUACAACUUUGGUGAAGACAUCUGAAUCCAGUUUGAAGGAUUUCCAGGUCAAAAGGCUGAAGUACAGAGUCAAUUGCUAUUGGUCGAAACUGGAACAAGGCAUGGAGCAGGCAAGGGUAUUUCAGUCAUAUCUCAGCCUACACAGAUCCAAAUGAGGUGAUUCUUGAUGCAUUAGAAAGAUAACUCAAAAGGCUACAACUUUCGUGUUUUAGACAUGAGCUGGUUCAGCUUCUAACAUCAAGAAAAGAUCAGUUGAAGUUGGGCAAAAAACAGAGCAAGUGAUCCACACUCGGAUCCACUAUUCAUCCGAACCCUCGGUUGUUUCUGGGUUAGUGGAACCGAGCUCGGAUCCAUACGGAUCCGAGGUACUGUAGCAGCUCGGAUCACUGUAGCAGCUCAGAUUUACUGUAGCAAUCCGGCCUGAAUUUGGCCGGAUUUGUGGCCGGAUUCCUGGCCGGAUUGUGGUCAGAAAAGGCUGCUCUGUACGCGUAAAACUCAAUUUCACUCCCACCAACUCACAUGUGAUGCUAUACAUGUGAGAAACAUUCCCAACUGUAAAAGGGAGAUGUAAUCCUCAUUUCUUGACCACCUUUCAUCAUUAAAGAGCCAAAUUCAUUACAAGAAGAAGGAGAGGGGAGUCCAUAGCAGAAAAAUAGAGAGAGAUACGGGAGAAGCUUGAAGUUGCAGAAAUGUAGCUCUUUCAUCUCCCUAGUGUUAGUUUAGCUUAGUAUAUAGUAGUGUAGCUUUUCCAUUCUUGUUUAUUAUCUAGAUUAGGAUGAAGAUGGAGGAUGAAGAAGGCAAGGAAGAAAGCUCAUGUGACAAGGGUUGUAUUCCUUCCAAACUCUUUAUCUUUUGUAUUUGAUUCCAAGUUUAGUUAAUAUACAAGUUCUGGAUUUUGUGUUCAUUAUGUGUUUCUAAAGUUUAUACCUUGGGUUUGGUUGAACUUUCUAUAAUUGUUAGUGUUUAUUAUUUGGUUAUUUGAUUGCUAUGAUUUGAGCAAGUUAUUUAGCACUUUGGCUCUUUAAAUCAUGAUUAAUCUGGUACCAUUGAUUGUGAUUAUCUAAGGUGUUGUUUCUGCAAUGGAAAUUGAGAUUUAACACUAGUUCAAAAAGUGCUAAACAUAGGGAGUACACUCACGAAAGUAGAGGUGCAUCUAUGUGGUUUUUAGUGAUUCAUUUCAUGUAAUUUCAUUGAAGAAAUGAACUUGUAGCUAAUUUCAUAACCAUGAGAAUAGGUAUGGAUUAGUUAUAAGUAUAAUUGAUUCACUACGAAAGUAGGAUUCAAAUGCAUAAGGAAAUUACACCAUAAUUAGCCUAGAUGUAGUACUCAAUGAUGCAAAUAUAGCAUUUACAUGAGUAGUUAGGGAUACCACAACCUAAGGAGCUUUCAUUUGUUAUUUUGUAUAAUUUCAGUAGGUUAAAUUUGUUAUAAUUCAUUGAUAGUCUAAAUAAUAGAGAAGCUUUAGUAAUACCGGUAAUUGUUCACUCUUCCCUGUGGGAUCGACCCGAUAUAUACCCUAAACUACUAGUUGAUCUGUAUACUUGCAGUGAACGGGUGUAAUUCGGUUUUUUUAACUUGUAUGUAUGUAAAAUACCCGUCAAGUUUUUGGAGCCGUUGCCGGGGAAGAUUUGGCAAUAUCGGUGUGAAGAGUAACUUUAUUAGUUUAGACAUAUUAUUAGUUAUACUGUGAAUGUUAUUUUCUGUGUUUUAUAUGUGUAUGUGUUUUAUCACCUAUUCUUCUUACUAAUUUUGCUCUUAAGUUGUUUAAAAGCAAUUUUAGGUGAUGAGAAGGGUAGGUCAAUUUGGAGGACAAUGCUUGAGAAGUGGAAGAUUGGCAAUGGAUGGUUAUCAAGUGCAAAGCUCCUUCAACAGAGGUAACCAAGAAUUUAUUGAAUGUAUGUCUUUUGAAAAUGGUUUAAGGUGCUUAAAGGCAAAAUUUGAUGUAAUUAAGUUACAAGUUCAAAUGGACACCAUGAUGCAUGAAAUUGAGCAGAGGAGGAAUGUUAAUGUUUUUAAUUCUUAUCAUGUGAUUUGUGACUUGUGUGGAGGUUAUCAUGCUACUAAUACAUGUAUGCAAGCACAAAAUGUGGAUUAUUAUUAUGAAUUAGAGCAUUACAAUCCUUGUUUUGAUCAAUACAGUGCUAAUUGGAUCAAUUCUCCUGUUUAUGGUUGGAAUAAUCAAUGUGCAUAUAGUGAUUUUCAAAAUUUUUAUGAUUACCAACUUGAAAGUGUCCAAUUCGAAUCAAAACCAUCUUGGGAGUUGGCAAUAGAGAAGUUAGCUAAUGCACCUCUACCUUGGGAGUUAGAAAGUGAACCAUUAGCUAAUGAUUCUAAUGCAUCUUGGGAGCUAGCUGUAGAAAAUUUUUCUAAUCAAUUUGAUUUAGCAGUAGAAAAGCUAGCAAAUGCAACUUCCGAUCGUUUUGAUAGGAUUGAGGAAAGAAUAGAUGAAUUAGCUUCUCACUUUGGUCGAAUACAUGAGCAAUUGAGUGCAUUGUGUGAAGUUAUUUCUUCUAAUAAUUUGCAAAAUGAUCCUAGCAUAAAUGGUGGGAAUGUUGUAUGUGAAAAUGGGUUGCAUUUUGAUGAAAAUGAUGAAUCUCAAUUAUAUUUCAAUGAGCAAAUAUCCAUUUCACAUAAUAAUAUCUUUGGAACUAACUUUGAACCUCAAGAGGUGAGUUUCAAUGACUCAUUUUUCACCCCUCUUGAGGAGUGCAGUGAAAGUAUAGGUUCUAAAGGUAUUCCUGCCCAAGAUACUCUUAUGACAUGUCCUUUGGUAAGUUCUCAAGUGGUGUAUAUUCAAGGUAAUAUCUAUGGAACACUUGGGAUAGGUAAGUCACUUUCAUUUCUCACAUCAUUAGAUCAUGUGGCUUUGGCUAUAAAGUCACCAUUUAAUGAUCCACCACGACCAAAAAUGGUGGAUUAUUCGCUAACAAAGCCUCCUUGAAAAAAUGAGGAGAAAUAGUCAAGCUAUUGACUUUAAAGAAGCGCUUAUUGGGAGGCAACCCAAUGUUUGUUUAAGUUCAUGUUACUUUGGAGUGAUUUUAUGUUUAAAGUAUGAGUUUGAGUUAUUUUGUUAUUUUUCAUUUGUAGGUUUUGGAAAAAGAUGCAAAAGUGACCAAAUGAGGUGAAAAAGGCGAAGUUUGAUCAAAGAUCUCAACACCUCAAAUUCAGUAAUUGUGGUUUUUGUUGCAUUAAAGAGGUUUAGAAUGCAUGUUUAGAUCAUUUUACAUGUGCGUGAACGAUUUAUUUUGACAUAGAAAUGAUCUAGGGUGUAUUUUGGAGAAUUGGGGUCAAACUGAAAAUUGCAAAAAUUCUGCAAUAAGUGCAGAUUCAAUGGAUCCGAGCUCGGAUCCAUAUGGAUCCAAGGCCUCAGAUCCACUUUUGCAAGCAGAUUUUUUUUUUCCAGCUUACUGGCCAGAAUCCGGCCGACAACCCGGCCGUAUAUCCGGCCGGAAACUGGCCGGUUUCUGGCCAGUUUUGCGCAAAAAGAGGAAUCCGCGCACGGAUUCUCCAUUUUCUUCUUCCUCUCUUCUUCAACUUAUACACACACUCACACUUAAAACACACACUACUCACUAAACUCACUCUUUUCACCAUCCAAUCUUCAAACCAACUAUACCAAAACACUCCCUUUUCACUUGAGAGAUGAUUUCAUAGCUAAAAAUUCUUCAAAAACAAGUCUAAAUUCGGAUUUGAGCUUGAGAAGAACAAGGGUUUCAAAUUUUUGAACUCUUCAUUUGAGGCCGAAUUGGAAUGAAAUUUUUGGGGGUUUCUUCACCAUUGGCAUCCAUAAUCAUCAACCAACAAGUUUGAGGUAACAAAUUUUCACUAAAUGUUGUCAUUUGAAUUUUGCCAAAUUUUUUUUUUCUAUUUUUGGGCAAUUUCAAAUUUUUUUUUUCAUUUUGUGAAGUUUGGUGCUUUACAUUAUGCUUAUUGAGCUUAUUGAUGAUUAUUGGUGAUAUUUAACUCAUGAGUUUGUGAUUAUUUGGUGAAUUUUUGCUAAUUUUAUGCUUAAUUUGGCUUGGUGACCAAGUUGCAUAUUAAGUGGCCAAUGUAGCAUUUUAAUUAGCUUUGUGGGAGUUUAUGAUAUUCAUGUGAGUAAUUUAGAUUACCUAAUGAAUGAAAAGGUGCUUGGUUGAAUAAUUUCUUGAAUUCUUAGGUAAUUCUAAAAGAAGAGAAAAUGGCCUUAAUUGAUGAAAUUCAUAAAUGCACUUAUAAUCCUUGUGGUUCAAUGGUUUUUAGUAUUUCAUGAAUUCUCAAGAAGGUCAUUUAUAUUUUGGCUUGGUGUGUUUGCCUCCAUUUUGAGAUUACUUUUGUACUUGAGGGGACUUGAUCACUGAUGACAAAAUGUAUAAAUGGAACUUACUUUGUUCAUAAUGGUGGGCUUAUUUUGUGAAAUUAGCAUCCCUUUGCUUUGGAUACUAAUGCAUAUAUUUGAUUAGCAAGGAUUAGCUCAUUUUAUGUUUUUAUCCCUUGAACAUUGUAUGGUUCCACAUGCUUGAUCAUCUUUCCUUUUUCCUUGACUUGCAUGUUUUCUUUUUGUUGAUUGCAACCUUUUAUUUUUAAGAAAUUUAUUUGUUUUGAUUUUGUCUUUUUCAGGGUGCAAUAAGUGAACUCUCCAUUCUUUCUCAAAUACGGUUGGAAAUUCAUCACUUGGACAUGGAUUCGGAUUGCGCAAGUUCAAUUGAGCAGUAUUUUCUUUUACUCCUUAUUUAUUUUCCUUUUCUCACAUUGAGGACAAUGUGAAGUUUAAGUGUGGGGGAGGAAAGUAUUGAACUUGCAUUUAUUUGCUAGGUGAUGAUAUUUUGUGGAUUUAAAUGCUUAGAAAUGUUGGAAUUGUGUUUGAAUUAUUUGCCAUGUGGAUAAUUUGCUAGAAAUUGGGUUUGUUGGCAGGGAGUUUUCUUCCAUUUAUAAGGAGAAACUCUGUAAAAAUUUUUCUAAAAUCUUUUCCAAUAUUUCACUAUGGCCCAAAAGUUCUUCAAAUUUUUGCAUUUUCAUUCAAAAAGGGCAAAUUUGUUCCAACCUUAAGUGUUUUAUUCUUCCAAUUGUUGAAACUUUAUGUGUAUUUUGGAAGGUUUAGUCCUCAUUUAACUUGGAAAUAGUUAUUAUGCAAUUAGAAUUUUUACAUUUUAGAAAGUAUAUUUGGUAAAGUGAGGAAAAUUAUGCCUAUAAUUUUACAUGUUUAAUGAGAUUUCUUCUCUUUACUUAAUUUUGCAAGUAAGUGAUUGAUAUAGUUGAUAAAGGUUAUACUCCUCCUUUGAUUAUUUGUAUAUAUAUUUUCUAUGAGGGAAAAAUAAAUAAAUAAAUAAAUAAAUAAAUAAAUAAAUAAAGAAAAAAAAAAGAAAAGAAAGUAAAUAAAAAUUGUUCUACUCCAAUGAUUCUCGUACCCAGUAACCGGGGGUUGGCAUCUACAAAAUGUUGAUUUUCGCGUAAAAAGGUAUUUGAAUUAAGAGUAUGUAUAGCAACUUGAAUAAGUGAAAUGUUGAGUAAUCGGGGAUCUUCACCUAAAAGUGUCGAUUUUCGCGUAAAAAGGCAUUUUCACUAUUUAAGUAAAAUUAGUAUGAAUAAAUCCCUCUUAAUUGUAAAAUUUUGAGAAAAAGAUGAUUAUAGGAGGAGGAAGGCUAUAAAUCGACUAUGUGGGUUGCUUAUUUGUGAAAUUAGGUUGGGGUAAGAGAUUAAGUUUAACUUGUUGAAUUAAGGUAUAAUUAUCUUUCCUUUACUUGAUAUUAUGAGUAUUUAAUGUAAUUUGAACAAUUGUAUAAUGAUUAUUUUCUAGGUCAUGAGGAAUUAAAAUUGACAAAAGUGCAUAUAUUGUUUCACCUCUUAAAUCAUUGUAAUUGAUUUUGUGUGGAUUGCUUGAGGACAAGCAAUGAUUUAAGUGUGGAGGAAUUUGACAAGUUAUUAAUUUACGUAAUAAUUGUCUAAUACUUUAUAUUAUUUUUAGUCACUUUGGUUAUAAUAUUGGAAGAAAAUGAAUCAUUUUGGCUAUAAUUGGUGAAUAAAUGUUUUUAAGUGAUUAAAUGGGGUUUUUAUCACUUUUUACUUGGAUUUUGUGUAUUUUGACAGUUUUGACACAUUUUCGUAUUUCGGCUAUAACUUGAGUUACAAUGAUCGGAUUGGGAUGAUUUUUGAACCCAUGUGAAGAUAAGAGAUAGAUCUACAACUUUGGUGAAGACAUCUGAAUCCAGUUUGAAGGUUUUCCAGGUCAAAAGGCCGAAGUACAGAGUCAAUUGCUAUUGGUCGAAACUGGAACAAGGCAUGGAGCAGGCAAGGGUAUUUCAGUCAUAUCUCAGCCUACACAGAUCCAAAUGAGGUGAUUCUUGAUGCAUUAGAAAGAUAACUCAAAAGGCUACAACUUUCGUGUUUUAGACAUGAGCUGGUUCAGCCUCUAACAUCAAGAAAAGAUCAGUUGAAGUUGGGCAAAAAACAGAGCAAGUGAUCCACACUCGGAUCCACUAUUCAUCCGAACCCUCGGUUGUUUCUGGGUUAGUGGAACCGAGCUCGGAUCCAUACGGAUCCGAGGUACUGUAGCAGCUCGGAUCACUGUAGCAGCUCAGAUUUACUGUAGCAAUCCGGCCUGAAUUUGGCCGGAUUUGUGGCCGGAUUCCUGGCCGGAUUGUGGUCAGAAAAGGCUGCUCUGUACGUGUAAAACUCAAUUUCACUCCCACCAACUCACAUGUGAUGCUAUACAUGUGAGAAACAUUCCCAGCUGUAAAAGGGAGAUGUAAUCCUCAUUUCUUGACCACCUUUCAUCAUUAAAGAGCCAAAUUCAUUACAAGAAGAAGGAGAGGGGAGUCCAUAGCAGAAAAAUAGAGAGAGAUACGGGAGAAGCUUGAAGUUGCAGAAAUGUAGCUCUUUCAUCUCCCUAGUGUUAGUUUAGCUUAGUAUAUAGUAGUGUAGCUUUUCCAUUCUUGUUUAUUAUCUAGAUUAGGAUGAAGAUGGAGGAUGAAGAAGGCAAGGAAGAAAGCUCAUGUGACAAGGGUUGUAUUCCUUCCAAACUCUUUAUCUUUUGUAUUUGAUUCCAAGUUUAGUUAAUAUACAAGUUCUGGAUUUUGUGUUCAUUAUGUGUUUCUAAAGUUUAUACCUUGGGUUUGGUUGAACUUUCUAUAAUUGUUAGUGUUUAUUAUUUGGUUAUUUGAUUGCUAUGAUUUGAGCAAGUUAUUUAGCACUUUGGCUCUUUAAAUCAUGAUUAAUCUGGUACCAUUGAUUGUGAUUAUCUAAGGUGUUGUUUCUGCAAUGGAAAUUGAGAUUUAACACUAGUUCAAGAAGUGCUAAACAUAGGGAGUACACUCACGAAAGUAGAGGUACACCUAUGUGGUUUUUAGUGAUUCAUUUCAUGUAAUUUCACUGAAGAAAUGAACUUGUAGCUAAUUUCAUAACCAUGAGAAUAGGUAUGGAUUAGUUAUAAGUAUAAUUGAUUCACUACGAAAGUAGGAUUCAAAUGCAUAAGGAAAUUACACCAUAAUUAGCCUAGAUGUAGUACUCAAUGAUCCAAAUAUAACACUUGCAUGAGUAGUUAGGGAUACCACAACCUAAGGAGCUUUUAUUUGCUAUUUUAUUGCAUAAUUUCAGUAGGUUUUAAUUUGUUAUAAUUCAUUGAUAGUCUAAAUAAUAGAGAAGCUUUAGUAAUACCGGUAAUUGUUCACUCUUCCCUGUGGGAUCGACCCGAUAUAUACCCUAAACUACUAGUUGAUCUGUAUACUUGCAGUGAACGGGUGUAAUUCGGUUUUUUUUAACUUGUAUGUAUGUAAAAUACCCGUCAGGAAUCUUGACCCUUCUAGAAUCACAUAGUUAGGAACUAAGAGAUUUUCUCAACCCACAACUAAACAAUUCAAUGAAGCAAAGUGUAGAUAGAAGAAUGCCACAACCAAGGUGUAUACUUGAUUGACAAGUUCUGGUUGAAUAACUUAAGAAAACUCUCAAGUAUUCAAGAAAAUCUCUCUUGGACAAUAGAAGUGAAUAAAACUUACGAAUUUUUUUUGAUGUAAAUUCUGAUCUGCCACAAUCGUUUAAGGUUUAGGCUUAUUUAUAGCCUUACUGUGACAGCCCCACUUUCCCCUAAGGCGAACCAAAGGGGUUAGCGGACUGCCUGCCCAGCUCUCGCCAGGACUACGGUACAGUUUACGUCGAUCUAUAACGUUCCGGAACAUCCCAUUGCACGUAAACAAGUCAAAAGAGUCAAAAUAAAAAAAAAUGAAAAAUUUGCCGAAGAUGAAUAGUGCAGGCCACGUCAGAAUCCGGCCGGAAUCUGGCCGGAUUUCCGGCCGGAUUCUCGGCCGGAUACUAGGCCGAGAGCAAUCCAAAAUGUUCUCCAAAACCCUCCGCAAUCCGGCCGGCAAUCCGGCCAGUUUCUGGCCGGAUUCCUGGCCGGAUUCAGUCCAGUGACUUUUCGUUCAAAAUUUUCCUUUUGCCGUUUGAAAUCCAAAUCGAUUCAAAGUUCAGCCAAACAUCAACCAAGCAUAUAUACAUUGAAAUCCAACAUUCCAAGCCAAAUCGGCAUACCAAAAUAUCCAACUAAUCCAUACAUGUACAAUAACCAAUUACAAACCAAACAUUGGAGGAAACAAAACACUUAGGGUUUCACCCUCAAGGAGCUAUUCAAAAUACAUGUACAUGAGCUCAACUUGUCAUUCAACUAUUACAAUCUUUUCCAAAAGUGUUCAUUUUCCUGUAAGGAAAACAAAUGGAACGGUGUGAGCUAAAGCUCAGUGAGCAACUAUCACAAUAGCAGUUAAGAUCACAUAAGCAUAACCAUUCAAGUCAAGUAUACAAUUUCGAAGUAAAGCAAUUCAGUGAAAGGAUACGGUCGGCUCUCAAGAGCCCAUUUCCACGCUUACAUUCUUGAUCCACACUCAUUGACCCUCCGUCAAUGUUAAAAGUACCAAACCGUAGACCUCACUUCACUUCCAUUCCUUCCACCCAACAUACCCCAACCGGGCCCGCACUCCAUUCAGUCAUUUUGGUAAUACUCGAGUUUACCGGAACCAAGGGUCUCAUUACCACAAGGUUCCCCAGUACAGUCCCCGUGGCAUGAUAAUUUUCACGACCAAGCCCUCGCCGGCUCGAUCCAAUUAACUACCAUACGGGGUUGAGCUCAUAAAUGCAGUAAAGCCAUUGGAUACUCGUCCAACGACACCAAAUCAGUUUCCAUGAAUGGAAUGCAGUAUCUCAUAUAUCCAGUGCAGUCUUUCAGUAAAACAAUUAAUAGUCAUGAAUAAAAUCACAAGGGGUGAGGGCGAUCAAGUACACCCUCACCUCAAUCAUUCCCAAUAACCAAGUAAGCCUUCAAGGCAUCAAAUACACAUAGCACAAAGCCACAUUAUAACAAGUAGGUGAGUAGUAUACUCACCAAGUGAGAAAAUGAUGUUUCAUGCACCGUCGUUAAACGAACGUCGUGCACCACCGUUUCCUCCUAGAACAAGUGAACAAUUACCAUAAGACUCGAUAACGAGUCACAAAGCCAAGCCAAUUAUAACCCAAUAGGGUUUCAUGCAUGGAAAUUCAAGUGUUAAAUACGUAACCUUUACUCAAGUCGAGAAUAUAGUUUUCUAAAUUUCGAGUAAAAAUGCGGGCAGCAUGCCCUUUGUGUUUACCAAAUUCUCCAGCCAUAAGGCUUCAUUAUUUUUCUUCAAUCACAACUCAACAACACACAUAUAAGCAUUUCAUGUCAAGAGCCGUUCCAUAGCUCACAAUAUCAUAAAACAAGAAACCAUACCGAGCCAUAAACAACACCAAUUCACAACCCCAAUAGGGUUUUAUAAACAUAUACUAGCAUGAAAGCAAACCAGAAAUUAAGAAAGGCUUUAAUGUUGGCCUUGAUAAGAAAACCGGUUUUGACGUCAUAAUGCGGUAAUGGCACAACUCUCACUACAAUUAUCGGUUGGGGGUGUAAGACCCACCAUUUCGAAGCUAUGAAACAGGGCUACAACAAUGUAGAAGGCCUCUCAGUCCAAAUCCUAGCACAACUAGGUCAAAAGUGCCAAAUACCAAACCAGAACCGAAAUUGCAGGUUCCCAAAUCACACAAAACUGUAAUACGUCAAUCUCAGCCUACACAGGUCCAAAUGCCGAAAUUCCAAAGGUAUAAGUUAGCUAAGAUAUCCAGCUACAUUUCAUCAGAAUACACCAACUUAAAAAUCCAAACCAAAUCCAGUCAAAACAGGCAAUUACUAUCGCAGUUCCGCACAUUCUGUUCACCAAAAACAGCAACAGUAAAAAUGGCAUAACUCUCUCUAUACUACUCCAAAUGCCCUGAAAUUUUGUAGGCACUUCAUACUCACCAAUACCUACAACUUUCAUGUUUUGAGUAAAGUCCAAUUCGGCCUCUAGCUAUGACCUAAAAUUUCGGACAGAAUUGGGAAUAAUAUGAACCCUAACUUUCCAUUUUCCAUCCAAAUCCAAAAUUGAUUACAUUUUCCUAUCCAAUACACCUCAUAGAGUCAUUAUCAGCCAUUACCAUUCAUCAUACAAGGCCACAACAUCCCAUUCAUAUUAAACCAGAAAAAUUCCCAAUAAAAUAAAAACUUCACCAAAACUCUUCAAAUCAAGAUAAAAACCAGAAAUUUCAGCACUCUUAUCACUAAUAAGCACAACAUAAGCAUCAUUAGGUGUAGUAGGGUGUUUCAAGCUUCACUUACCAAGAACCAAGAGAGAGGAAGAUGUUGUGCACCUUAGUCCUUCAAACAAAGUUCACCAAACAACUUACUAUCACUAGAAGGAAGAAUUUUAUGGAGUAGAAUCUAUUCUAGGUGAUUAGUUGUGGAAGAUUGAGUGAAAUGGAAGCUAAAAGUUGAAGAAUUUCCUUCCUUCUUUGAGCUUGAGAGGUUCGGCCAUCAAGAGUGAAAAAUGGUGCAUUUUUGUGAUUUUUGAAGAUAUAUAACCAAGUUGGGUCAAAGGUCAAAAAUGUGAAUAGUAUUUCUUAAGGUCAAACCAAUACUUAUGUGACACUUGUCACCUCAUUAAAUGCAUUCUUAUCAUUCUUUUCUCUCUCACAUCAAUCACUUCACACAUACUACUUAUCUCUUAACACCCGAUAAAUUUUCCACAGUAUCCGAAACUUAACCGUAUUGGCCGAAUUUUCCCGAACUUUUCGCACUAGUGGGUCCCACGUCCAAUAUCUAGUCUUAAUUUUCUAAAAGCUCUCCAAUACUAGAAAAAUCAUCUAAAAAACUAUAACUGCUCAUGAAAUCCACCAAGAAAAUAUUCCUAGGCCAGAAAAUGCAGAAAACAUGAAAUUUAAGGGGGGAAAAACCCUAGGAAAAUAUUAGGGCAAAACGGGUUCUCACACUUACAAUGACUUCAAAACCAAACCUAAAUUGGACUAUAUUAACCCCUAACUAAUGACCAAAAUUUUGGCUCACUUAAAGCUUAACAUGGCCAAAAUUAAUCACUUAAUUUAGCAAGGAAAUUGGCAUUAUAGCCCUCGCGUAACAACAUUUAACUAAAUGACUUCGUAACUUGGACUAAUUAGCUAACUAAACCGAUUUGCUUGGGCAAUCUUCAACUGAGUUGUUUUGAAGCAAGGUGUAUAUUGUAGACUCUUCACUAUCCAGCCUUUCAAUGGUCCUUAAAUCAUCCCCAACUCGUUCUUGAACUGUACAAACAAGAGUUUGAAGUGAUUCUCUAAAUUUUCUUACACGAGCUCUUGUAAUUUUAUCAUUUGGAAUUUGAACAACUUGAUUAGCCUUGAAUCCUUUUAACCCUUUCAUCAUCACUCUCCUCCUCUUGGAGGCGAUUGAUCCUUAUUGUUCCUUCCUUAGGAGGUUCCCAACGCUGCUGGAUUGGUGUUGCCUUUUCUGGUUCAGAAUUUGAUCUUGUGUCUGACUCCUUUGCUGCCUCAUACUCGAUCCAUUCCUGUUGUGCCUUGUCAACAAUUAUCUUUGCAUUAGCUAUCUCCUGUUGGAAAGUAAACUUGUUCCUUGCUUUCCAGAUUUGCCAUAAGAUGUUUGCUGUAAGUUAGAUUCUGCCCACACCUUGAGUCUCUUUUGCUGCCUACAACACCGCUUCCCACCAUCUCCACAGGUUGCCUUGAAGUUUAGCUAGCCCUUCCCACCGAACAGGUGCAAUCUUCCAUGUUACUUGCGCUGUUGGGCAGUUGAAAAAGAUAUGUUCAAUGGUUUCCAUGUCCUCCCCACAGCAAUGACAAAUCUUGUUCCCUAUGCCAAACCUUUUGUAGAGAGCUUCCUUAGUAGCCAAUCCGUUUUGUAGACAUCUCCAUAAGAAAUGUUUCAAUUUCAGCUUAAUGGUUAGGCUCCACAAAGUUUUCCAAACUGUAUGCUUUCUUAUCUCCCAACUGGUUUCCGGAUCAGGUGCUGGCCUUGGAAUUUGGAAAUUCAAACAAAGGUUUCUUGGGUUCGUUUUUGGAAGACUAGGUUGCUGAUUUGUGAGGUUGUCACGUGUGCAAGAAUUUGGCAAGUCCGAAUUUGGUAGUUUGAGUGUGACUAGGAAUUGUUUUUAAUCCCAAGUCAACUUGAAUUCCCAAUUUCAGAUUGCUUUCUUGUUCCACUUCAAGAUUGAUUCGAGUGUGUUCUUUCUUUUCUUGCAUUUCUCUCUUUUUUUUCAUGCAAAACAGAUUUGUUUUUCUUUCUUUUCCUUCACUUCAGAUCAAAGCUCAAAGAACAAGAUUUGGUCUCAAGUUAUGCACAAGAUCAGCCGCAACUUCCUUUGUUCAAGAAAACAAGAGCUAAGGUUUGUCCAAGGUUCAAGAUUUGAUCAACUUUGAUUUCAAGAAUUCAAGAACUCUAGAUUGUCAACCCAAGACUUCAAGAUUUGUCCAAGAAAUUUCAGAAAUUCAAUCAAGAAACUUCCAGACCUUGGUAUACUUCCAAGAAACAAGAGAACCAACCACUUAUGAUUCAAGAAACAGAAAACACUAGCGCAAUUUGUCAAGAAACCCUAGUUUGAGUUUCAGAUUUUUUUUUACUCUCAACGACUUUAAGGCUUGACAAACGAAGAAACAAGACACACACAACCAGAAACACGAUACCAACGAGAGAUAAGGUUCGGACAGCCAAGAAAAUAUGCGGCAGCAAGAAAUAACAACAAAAAACGCUAAUGGAACUACUAGAUUAAACACGGGCAACAAAGAAUGGACUCGAUUAGCAAGGAACAAACACAAGAAAACAUGACACAAGUUGAAAGUUUAACACAAGACAAUAUGGAAAAAAACCCUAGCGAUCCAACUAGGAGAACACGACCAUAUUUGAAAACAAGGAAAACUUACUUGACACGAACAAGAUAUACUUGAAUUCGUCAACUGGCUCUGAUUACCAAGUUGAUACGAACCCGCCUUAGGGUAUGAACUCGUAUCCCACCAAGCCCCGGAUCUCGACGAAGAAAACAAGUUGGAGUGCGGAACCUUGACCCUUCUUGUAGACACCAAAUUUUUAUUUUUUAUUUAUUUAUUAUUUAUUAUUUUAAUUUAUUGAUAAUUAUUAGCUAUUUUUACUUAUUAAUCUCAUGAUUUUAUUUUAGACAUUUUUUUUAGCAUUUUAGAUACCAAAUCUUUUUAAUUUAGCUUUAUUUGUUAUUAUUUUCAUUAUUAUUGAUUAAAUGUAUUUAUUAUUCAUUUCUUGCUUAAUUAGUCGCUUAAUUUUUAUUUUAAGACAUUUUUAAUAUUAAAAUUUGUCGGAAAAAAGAAAAUUGUUCACAAAAAUAUGCUUUAAAUUUUUCAGAUUCAAUUUAUGAAAAUAAUUGAUUUAUUAAAAAAAAAGAAAAAAAAGGAAGUCGCGCGCGUGCAUGGCACGCGCUCUACUUCUCUUAAGCUUCGUACUAGCAGAAACAGAAGCAGAAUUGCAGUGUUUUUUUUUCCCAGCUCUUUCUCAUCGCUUCAUCUCAUUUUUUAGCUCCGUUCGAUUGUUUUAAUAAGCCAUCUGGCUUAAUCUAGAAACCUCAAUGGUUUGGGCAUCAAGAACCAUCAAACGGUUCCUCAAAUACCAUAGAAAGGUGGCUUCAUCUAUACCAUUACUGAGAGGGUUUAGGUCCUGGUGUGCCAUAUAAAAGCAUAAAGAGGGUUUAAGGGAAUCCAGGGGGAUGAUGGCUGAAGGGAGGUUUUAGAGAGAAUCUGGAGUGAUGGCAGAGGAAAAAAAAAAGAGCUUUGAGACUGGAGAGAAAACUGGAAAAUAAAAGAAAAAGAAAGGUGAGUGUGUGACGGCUGAAAAGAAGGAAACAAGAAACAAGAUAGUGUGGCGGCUAGAGAGGAAAAACUAAGAGAAUUUGGUGAGUAAAAAAGAGCAGGAGUGAAAGAGACGGAAAACGAGAGAGAGACAGAGUGAAAAGGCAGAAAGCAAGGGAGAGCUAGGGUGAAUUCUUAGUUUAUGAUGGAAAAAAAAAAGAAUUCUACAACGAGGGCAGUUCUUGGAGUGUGUUCUGCAAAUAGGGGUCUUCGCAUUCCGGAAAUGCGAGCUCGAAUUGGAGCUCGCAUUCCCGGAAUGCGAGCUCACUGAGAGCUGGGUGAGCGCCAAGACAAGGCUACGUUACAGUCUUCGUCGGCUUGGCGUGGCAUAGGUACAGGUGCUGGUGGAUGUAGUCGCAUUGUCUCUUUGACAAUGGCCUGUAGGUAGACUAAAUUCUUGAUAUCAGAUUCUUCUACCCAUCUCUCUUUACCAACAAAAGAGUCAAUCUCUUCCUGGGCUUUUUGCAAAACGUGCCUAUGGUUCAGUAGCAGGGAGAUAACCCAGCUCAACGCCCUUGAUGUGGUACUAGUUCCUGCUACAAUAAGCACCUGCAAGCAAAAUAAUAAUAAUAAUAAUAAUGAAAAGUAACAAAUAGAACUAUGCAUGUGUACUUUUUCCCCCAUUUAAAUGUAUUAUAAUAAAAUAACGUAUUUCUAACUGUACAAUUACCAAUUUUUUUUAUUAUAAAAGAAUUAUGCAUGUAUAGUAAAUUAUAUUAAGUUUGAAUUUCAUUUUAAAUUUCGUAAAUUUCAUUUUAAAUUUUUUUCCUAACAAGUUUGAAUUUAAUUUUCUAAAAGUCAUACUUAUAAAUGCGAAAUCUAACAAAAAAGUUAACUACAAUUUUUGGAGGACAAAUUUAUCAAAUGCGAGCUAUUUGCAAAAUUUUAAAUAUUUGCAAAAUUUUAAAAAAAAAACAUCUAGGAGCUCGCAUUUAGCUCUUACUAUUUUCUGGAAAAAAUUCUCUAGCUCGGACAUCCAUUCAUGAUAGUCAGCUUCGUUUCUUUGCUUUGCCUGCCCGCUAUUUCUGAAAGAAAUAGAGUCAAGUGUAAUUUUUUUUUUCUUUUUGGAAGAUUUGCAGUUCAAGAAAACUAACAUUGAAGUCUCUGAUGCCUCCAGUGCGGGCCCCCUAACGCUUUUGGUGCUAACAGGAGCCUAGCCAUCUUCUGAGCUAGCCUUUCCAGUUCAUGACGAUUGGUGCUAAUCAGGGAAGUGGAAUUCAUUCUCUGACCCAGGAGCUCCUUUCUUUUUUUACGAAUAUAGAGGCUGCUAGAGAGCUCUGGGGGAGCUAGUAAAAAAAAUUAAAUUAGAGAUCGUAUUUGCGGAAUGCGAACUCAAUAACCUCGCAUUCGUGAGCUCGCAUUUCACGAAUGCGAAGACCCCCGGACGGAAUCCAUUACUAAAAUCACCCCUUUUGUAGAAUUUUUUUAAAAUUUAUCACAAAAUUAGAAAUUUCUCGGGAGAGCUAGAGGGAAGAAACCAAGGGUUUCGACAAGAAAAGGGGGUUUUUGGGCAGAGGAAAGAAAGAACUUGGGACUAAGGGAAAUCAAGCAACAAAGCAACGGAGCAAGAGGAGGAGAACCAAGAAGGAGCCACGGCUGAGCAAGAUCUUUGAGGGUUCAAGUCAAACCAAAAGAAGGAGAGGAGCUACUACGGGAGUCCCUUUUCCAUCGCUGCUAGAAAAUCCCACCAAAAUAGCGCUGUAAGGUUCUUAUCAGCCCCUUCCUAUAGAUAAUCUCUGUUAAUACGUGAUGUCUUUUGAUUAUUUCUUUUGGCUUUGAGCCCCUUAGUAUGGCAAAAAGGAGUUGCAGUAGCUGUUUUCCUUGUCAUUGUAGCCUAAAGCUGUAACCUUUUUGCUGGCAUUUUGCAUGACAAGUAUGUUAGGGUUCCAAAUUUGUUUGGUGUUGUUAUUUUAUUCCCAAGCUGAAGUUUAGGAGCAAAGAUGUUAACUUUGAAAAGAAAAAAUGACAUUUACAUGGCCAGUUUAUUCGAAAAUGCAUCUGAAGUCAUAUGUUGGGUAAGUUGUAGAAGGUUCCCAGUUUGUGCGUGUUUUCUGUUCUGAUUUUUAUGCUGAAAAAUCAAGGUUUUACAUUGGCAAAAGUAUGAAGAACCUGAGUUUUGGAUUGCAUGCGGCUGAGAUUGGUACCUUAAGAAUCUACUGCAACAAGCUCACAGUUCUCGGCUUGUUGCAGCAGUACGGGCAAAUCAGUUUUUUUUCUUUGGUUGCUCGUUCGAUGUUCUUGUUUUUUGCUGUUUGACUGGGAUGUUGUGAACAUGUUUUCUAUCAAAGCAUGAUUUAGACCCUUCUUAGGGACAAAAGCCUUUAGUGUUCUUCCAUGCGCGAAGCAAGAGGGAUGAGAAUCAUGAGUUUUGAGUUUAUUGUCUGGUGCAUUUUUCUGAUGCGGUCUUUGAUUGUUCUAUGAAAUUUUUGGGUAAAAGUUUAGCUAGUGUUCAGGUCACUUUGUUACAUUUGGUGUCCGAAAGCUUGUUGGAUGUCUCCCCUCUCCCUUGUUUCAUGUUCUCGUGUUUUAGUUGCAUUGAGUCGUUUUCUGGUUACUGGUAUGAGGAAUCACAGGUUGCUGCAACAAGCUCGAAACUCUCAGUUUUAUUGCAGCAAUGUGUACAGAACUUCUUCUUUUCUUGUUUGCUUUGUUUUUCUGGUCGAGCCUUAAUAAGAUCUUCAAGUCACAUUUGCUGCGUUUUGUGUCUGGAAGUUGUUAAAGUCUCCUCUCCCCCUGUCCCAAGUUUCCUGCAUUCAUGUGUAUAAAUAAGUUUAGGACAUGCAUUGAGUUUUUUUUUUCUUCUGUUUAAAGGUAUUAGCUUCGGUAUGAGCAACUAAAAAUUGUUGUAACAAGGUUGGAAUUACUUGCUUGUUAUAGCAAUGUUGAUAGCUCUCGAUUAAUUGUAGCAAAGUGAAACUCGACCAGGCUGCAUUUUUGUUUUGUUGGACUGUCAAGACCAUUGCUUGGUAGUUUAGGAAAGGUUCAGUCAUAGUUUUUUGGAAAAGGGAGUUUCCUGGCUUGUUGCAGCAACAAAGGUAGAUAUAUUUUUUUUUUUGCAAAUGAGUGAAACCUUCGCUGCUCCAAGUUCAUUUUCUUUUGCUGAUUUUGUGUUCAGCCCCCUUGUUUGAUUUCAGUGGGGAAAACAAUGGCAUUUGGUUGAUGUUAACAACAUGGAAUUGAGGUCAUUGCAUUUGUGUUUGGUUUGGUUUGAGUUGUUUCAUCAAUGUGUUUCGGUUAGAAUGAGGAAAGUUGCAGCUAACUUAGAAUUGCAGAAAGCUUCAUUACCUGUCGAAAUUUUUUUAGUAGAAAGCUUUGUUCGUUUGGUUUUGCAUGGAGUUUGCAUGAAAAACCUCCUCAUUUUGGUUCUGCCAUUCCCUUGCAUGCAUGAUAAGUUGGAAUGAUAAUUUGAGGAUUGGGUUGCAGUUUGAGAAGUUUGUGAAAUCAUGUCCCGCAUGAUUGCUGAAGCCUAAAAGUAUAGAAAGUAGUUGCAGAAGCUUGUUUCAUUCGUAGUGUUUGCAUGCUUUGCAUGAAAACAGUUUCCAAAAUUGCAAACCAUCCCCUUAAGUCUCCCACUUGAGAUCCUCGGUGACAUGUUUUCUAUGCCAAUUCAAUGCCACCUAUAGUAUUGCGCCAAGUGUCCUGUUAUUAUUUGCACUUGGGUUAAACCAAACCAAGUUGAAUUAUUAGAAAAUUAAAGUGUAAAUAAUAACAGAACACUUGGUGCAAUACUAUAAGUGAUAUUGGGUUGGCAUAGAAAACAUGUCACCGAGAAUCUCAAGUUAAUUCCUAAAACCCCAAAACAAAAAAAGAGACAAAAUAGGAGAGUAUUCAAUAUAUCACAAAAAGGAAGAUUUUCCAAAGGAGCUCUCGUGUCUUGGAAUUGUGGUGUCCCAAAAUAAGAAAGAGACUGAACAAGAAAACUCAACACUACGCAAAAGGGAGAGAAUUCCCUAAAUGAGUUUACGUCUCUGGUGAUAGAAGUGCCACACCAACUGCCAUGCGCGCCAAACCCUCUAUUUAUAGGAGAAAUUCUUCCAUGUGAAAGCCUUCGAACGAAUAGUAUUUGAAUGGAAAUGGCUGCUACGAAUUUGACUAAUAAAACAUACAACUCAAUAGUUGGGGUAUAUGCUAGGACGCUAAAUAGGUAAAAAAAAAAAUGUCCAUGUAGCUCUCAAAAUUUGACAGCACCAUAAAUGAUUUCACAUGGAUGUCAAAGACAUAUUUUAACACUUUUAUUAUUUAUUUUUUCCCAUCCUCCCGGAUGGAGUUCUUAUUAAGAUAGUCGAAUGAACCAGAAGUACAUAAAGAAACAGAGACCACCACGUACGUAUAUGGUCUGAAAUAAAACUAAAUAUCUGUUAUUGGCUUUCUUAAUUAUUGGUUUUCACUUUAUUAUUCAAACUUCCCAUCCUCCUCAGCAUCGCCUUAUGGUAAUAUUGGCCAUUGUAACCGUAUAAUUCCUUGCUGGUAUUUGUCGAACUGCCAGAAAGGUUGCAUAUCCACGAACAUACCUAAAUAUUUUGGUGCCAGAAAGUACUGAAAAUUCAGUCACCGAAGUAUUUUGUAUGCUAUAUCCUAGUCCUUGGAAUUCCAAAGUGCUACCGUUGUAUUGUCCGUCGGUGAACAUGAAGGAAAAUGGGUCAAAUGAGUAAAGUCCAUCACGGGAUGAAGCUACAUAAAGGCCUUGGCUUCGACCAACAGUUGGAGAAUUGAUGCUGAUGCUUUCUGUAAAGGGAGAAUCAUUAACAUAAAUGGUUCCAAAUUCGGUGGGAGUUCUCGGCCUACCAGGGGCGCCGGCAACUGCGACAGUGGUGGCAUUUGGUCCGCCUGAAAACAGUUGAAGGUACACAGUAAUCUUUGUUUCCUUUCCACCGCAGCAAUAAUCACGGUCACGAUGAUUAGCUUCUGAACAAACAAAGAUUGCUACUAAUAGCAAAAGGGAAAUUUGGAUGGAUGUUAAAGCUGAACCUUUUGCCAUUUUGUAUGUUGAAAGGCUUGCUGAAAAACAAAGAAGGAAGAAACAAAUUAGUUAGAUGGUGAAGAUAAUUUGUUCAAUGACCAUAUUUAUAGGAUGGAGUCAAGGAGUUAGGUAUAGCACAAAAAGUUUUAAAAGACAAUUAAACAUCAAUGGGUGGCCAUCUAUCACAAUAGGUUUGUGUAGAAUGGUGUGGUGUAAUCAGCAUAUAUACAUUCAUAGUUCAUAGCCAAGAAUUUCUUUUCAUAUAUAAUGGGAUAAUGGAAAACCUUGUUAACAUGAAACACAUUUACCUAACAAAAAUGAAACACAUUUAAUAAGGUUCUGGAAAAGGAUUAACUCCACUUUGCAUUUUCAAACUUGUACCACUUUAACAAGGUUCCGAACUUGUGCUUAGCAGAUAAAUCAAUGUCGACUUUUGAUUUUUCUGCAUAUAAAUGGUUUAAAUGAAAUGAGAUUACAUUUCUGAGAGUUAGGUAGAGCAUAAAAAGUUUUAAGAGAGAAUUAAAAAUCAAUGGGUGGCCACCUAUCACAAUAGGUUUGAGUAGAAUGGUGCGAUAUACUCAGUAGAUAUAUCAUUCAAAGUUGAUAGCCAAGAAUUUCUUUUAGGGAUGGCAACUAGGUCGGAUGAUCACGGGCUAAUGGGCCGGGGAGGGGAUUUUUUCCGCCGUUAAAAAAUGGGGCAGGGGGCAAGGGAGUAAACCCCCGCCUCACCACCCAUUAAAAAAAUUAAAUCUAUAUAUGUAUAUAUUCAUAUAUAAUAUUUAAUUUAAUUUGUUACAAAUAUAUAAUAAUGAUAUUAUUAGUUAUAAAUAUUAUAUAAUGCAUAUUAGUAUUUGUAAUAUAAAUGAUUAGUAUUUGUAAUAUAGUUGAUAUUAUCAAAUACUAAUAAUAGUACAUGUCUACUAAUAGAAAUUAUUAAUUAGUUAUAUUAAAUCUACUAAUACAAUUAUACUAAAUUCGUAAUUACACUUAACACAAUAACACUUUUUUCUCAGAAAAAAAAAACACAAUAAUGACUUAAUGAUUGUAGUUUUCUCAAAAGCGAAAACUUGACUAUUUUAGUUAUAUUUGUUUCAUCAUGUUGGAUUGUAUUCAAAUAACUUUUGUUUAAUUGUUUUUUAUGGGUUUCAAUUAUGAAAUUACAAUGGAUAAUGACUUGGUCAUAUGUUGGCAUUUAAGUAUUUGAUUCUUUGCUCAAAUUUGACUACAAUGAAAUUAUAUAACAAAUUUUUAUUAGCCCGACGGGUGCUUCCGUGGGGGUAGCGGGGACGGGUAGGAGGACUGAGGGGCAAGGGAAAUUCCCCCCGCCCUACUGCCAUUCCUAAUUUCUUUUGCUAUAUAGUGUAAUACUGGAAAACCUUGAAAACCUGAAACACAUUUACCCCAAAAAAAUGAAAUACAGUUUACAAGGUUCUGGAAAAUGAUUAACUCAACUUUGCAUCUUUGAAUUUGUACCACUUUAACAGGAUUCCAAACUUAUACUCAGCAGAUAAAUCGAACUUGACUUUUGAUUUUUCUAUAGAUGAAUGGUUUAAAUGAAAUAGGAUUGCAUUUCAAAGAGUCAGGUAGAGAUUAAAAGGUUUUAAAAGAGAAUUAAACCUCAAUGGGUGGCCACUUAUCACAGUAGGUUUGUGUAGAAUGGUGUGGUAUAUGUGACAGCCCCACUUUCCCCUAAGGCGAACCAAAGGGGUUAGCGGGCUGCCUGCCUAUCUCUCGCCAGGACUAACGGUGCAGUUUAAAGCGAUCUAUUGCGUUCCGGAACUUAUAACGCGCGUAAACAAGUCAAAAUGUCCAAAAUAACCCAAAGUAAAAAAAUGAAAUCCGGAGUCGGCCAUGAAUAGUAACCGACCCGUCAGAACCCAGUCAAACAUCAAAAUACAUAUACAACAUAACAUUUAGUAUUUACAAGCCAAAAUGGCAUACAAAAGUGAUACAAAAGUUACUACAUGUAUGGUUUGCCAAAAUCCAAAGUGAAACGGCCCUAAAGGUACAUUUAGGGUUUCGAUUCAUAAGCUAUACAAAAGAGACAUUCAUUUAGCUCAUUCGGCAACCAACUAGCAAGAAUCAUUCCAAAAGUAGUCAUAUGCCUGUAAGGAAAACAAAAGGAACGGUGUGAGCUAAUUGCCCAGUAAGAUACUAUCACUUAAGCAACCAAGAUCACAUAAGCAUAACCUUCAUUCCAAUUACUUUAUUAAGAAGUAAAACAAAUCGGUAAAAGGAUACGGACGGCUCUCAAGAGCCCAUUUCCACGCUUACAUUCUUGAUCGAACCUCAUUGACCCUCCGUCAAUGUUUAAGAAUAACCAACCGUAGACUUCACUUCACUUCCAUUCUUUCCACCCAACAUACCCCUACCGGGCCCGCACUCCAAACAGUAGCCAUUUGGUAAUACUCGAGUAUACCGGAAUCGAGAGUCUCACUACUACAAGAUUCCAUAUAACAGUCCCCAUGGCUCGUCAAUUUUCACGACCAAGCCCUCGCCGGCUCGAUUCAAUUGACUACCAACGGGGUUGAGCUCAGUAGUAACAGUAAGGCCGUUGGAUACUCGUCCAAACGACACCAAAUCAGUUUUCCAUGAAUGGAAUUUAGUAUUUCAUGUAUCAUUCAGUCAUUACAGUGAAACAGUAGACAAUCCUCAACAAUAUCAAAGGAUGUGAGGGCGAUCAAGUACACCCUCACUUUAAUCAGUUUCAACAGUGCAAAUAAGCCUUCAAGGCGUUAAUUUCAAUAUAAUAAAGCCACAUUGUAAACAAACAAGUGAGUAGUAUACUCACAUAGCAAGCAAGUGGAAUAUCGUGAACUUCUGCCCAAAAGGCGUCUUUAAUUACCGUCACGCCCUAAAACAUGCAAACAAGUACAAUGAGACUCGAUAACGAGUCAUAAACCAAUGCCAAAUACUCCCAAAAUAGGGUUCCAUACGCAUACAUAAGCAUUAGAGGAAAUCAGAAAAAUCCGGAAAUGCAAUUGGACUUCAAUUAAAAAAACAGUUUUUGACGUCAUUAUGCGGUUUUAGCACCAACGGCACUACAAUUAUCGGAUGGGGGUGUAAGACCCACCGUUUCGAAGCUAAGAGACAGGGAUACAAUGUUUCAGAAGGCAAUUUUGUCCAGUUUUGAGUGUAACAAGGUCAAAAAUGCAAGAUACUAUACCAGAACCGGAAAAACAGAUUCACAAAACGCAUUCUGCUGUAAACAGCAUAACUCAGCCUAAUUAAGCCCAAAUCCAGAAAUUCCAAAACCAUCUGAAAGCUAAGAAACAGGGAUAAAUUUCAUCAUAAGGCCUCAACAACCAAUUAGGAAGCAAUUCCAGCCAAAACAACCAAUUACAGGCGCAAUUCUUACAUUCGGGUAAAACCAGAACAGCAAUAGUAAUUUCGACUUUUCUCAUUCUACACUACUCCGAUUGACCUGAAAUUUUGUAGGCACCUCUAAAAUGUCAUUCCCUACAACUUUCAUGUUUUAAACCAAGGCCAAUUCGGCCUCUAACUAGGAGCUAAAAAUUCGGGCAGAAUGCUCCCUCAAGAACCCUAAUUUUCUGAAAUUUCUUCCAAACCAGAAAUUGGUUGCAAUUAAUCAUUUUUUCCACCUCCUAGAGUCAUUAUAUACCAUUUCUAAUCAUCAUAGAUAGCCACACAAUCAUGCUCAUAUUAAAACAGAAAAAAAUCUCCAAAAAUAAUAAAACUUCAUCACUUCAACCACAAAUCAAGAAAUAACCCAUAAACUUGCAUCUCAUACUACCACUAAGCAUGAUUUAAGCAUCAAUUAAGGGAGGAGGGUGGUUCUUCACAACUUACCUUAAAACAAGAGAGAGAGAGCUAUUGGACACCUUAACUUUCCAAAUAACUUCACACAACAACUCACCAACACCUCCUUAAGUGGUUUUAUGGAGCAAAAUCAAGGUUGGAUGGUUGGUUUUGAUGAUUUGGAACAAACUUGAAGAGUUUUCUUCCUUGUGCUUAGAGUAAGAGAGAGAGAAAGAGAGAAUGAGAGGGCCGGCCACCAUGGAGGAUUUUUUGAUGAUUUUUGGGUAAUUUUUAAGCUAUUUUAACCAAAUUGGUAAAAGGGUGAAUAGUGUUCAAAAAGGUCAAACCACUCCUAUGGUGACACUUGUCACCUUUUAAUAAAUACUUACCUACCUUGUCUCUCUUAUACCAAUCCACUUAGCACCCUCUACUUAUCUCUUAACACCCGGUAAAUUAAUUCCAAUAUUCAAAACUUAACCUAGUUGGCCGAAAUUUUCCGAACUUUUCGCACUAGUGGGUCCCACGUCCGGUAUACACUCUUAAUUUUCCAAAACCUAUUCGAUACUAGAAAAAUCAUCCAAAAACUAUAUCUGCUCAUUAAAAAUAUCUAGAAAAUUUCCCUACUAAAGAAAAAGCAGAAAACAAGCCAUUAAAUAAAUAAAACCCUAGAAAAAAAAUGAGAAAAUUUCGGGUUCUCACAGUAUACACGGUAGAUAUAUCAUUCAAAGUUCAUAGUCAAGAAUUUCUUUUGUUAUAUAGUGGAAUAAUGAAAAACCUUGAAGUCUUGAAACACUUUUGCCUAAAAAGAAAUAAAAAGCAAUGAAACACGUUUGACAAGGUUCUGAAAAAAAGAAUUAAAUCCACUUUGCACCUUUGAACUUCUAUCACUUUAAUAAGGUUAACUUACACUUAAUAGCUAAAUCAAUCUUGGCUUUUGAUUUUUGUGCGUAUAAAUGGUUUGAAUGAAAUAGGAUUACAUUUCUAAGAGUUAGGUAGAGCAUAAAAAGUUUUAAGAGAGAAUUAAAUGCCAAUGGGUGGUCACCUAUCAAAAUAGGUUUGUAUAGAAUGGUAUACUCAGCAAAUAUAUCAUUCAAAGUUGAUAGUCAAGAAUUUCAUCUACUGUAAAAAUAAUAAAAAGCUCAAACGUUGACUUUCCUGAUAAUAUGAUGCUCCAUCCAAUCCACAUAUGUUUAUCUACGAUUCAGCAGUAAAUUUGAUGAAGAGCUCAAAAGUUGACUUUCCUGAUAACAUGGUACUCCAUUCUUCCCGUUUUAUAAGGACUUAACUAACCAUUCUGUGGCCAAACCAUUAUCCAUCUUGACCAUCUAAAUGGCGAAUUGCACUUUUAGUUUAAUGCUCAAUAAAACAGAAGUUCUUAACCAUGUUAAGAAAAAAUAGAUGAAAAGGGCUUUUGUCACCUUUUAUUAGUUGUGGUGGUUAAAUAGGAGAAGGAUUACAUUUUCUUAAACUAAGUAAAAGAUUAUUUUACAUAAAGCAAGUUGGAUGCACAUCAUAUGUAAAAUAAAAAUAUGAAAAAUAAAGACUACCGUACAUUUAGACUUGGUAGCAUAUCAAAAAAAAAUUUUUUAAUGACAGUGUAUAAUGAUUUAUGUAUGCAACAAAAUGAAACUUCUCAUUUUCAGACCAGAAAUAUUUCUUUUGAAGUAAUCUCAGUCGGACAAGGACGUACCAAGCGGGGCCGAGAAAGAAAAGCCCCUCCACACCUAAAAAAAUUGUUAUGAAAAUUAAGUAGGACAAUAAUCUUUUAACAAUAAUUGUUACUUUACCACCAACAUAUAUAACUUACUUAGUUCCUGACCCCUUCAAUUACAUUUAGACAAAUCUUCCAUGACAAAUCAACUUUUACCUCUUUCUGCUAGUAUAGAGUUUCGUUGCAUUUGUGUACGAUAUAUAUGACUUAAAAUUACAAUUAAGUAAACACUAUACCAAAAGGAAACAGAGGACCACCAAAAGAAAGUUUCAACCAAUAUUAGAUACUAUUUAUACUAUAUUGGCCUGAAUAAAAAAAUAGAGUAUUAGUCAAAAAUGAACACCGAAAAUCACAAUUUUUUUAUUCGUAGAUGUGUAGCCUUUACAUUUUAUUCUUUCCAGAGUGAUUGGUAAUGAUGAAUUACAAGAAUAGUGGAAGAAUGAUUAUAAAGAUACAAGAUGCAUAUAUGAUAGAGUCAAAGCAAGGUAAAUGAUAAGUGCUUGAUUUGCAUAUUUGUAAGUGGUUAUUUAUGUGCAUUUUAGUGUAUUUUCAUUUAAGUUGAAGUUGAAUAACUAGAUUUUUAGUUAAGUUUUGCAUUUUGUGGUUAAGUGAGAAAACUCACAUUUCUAUGGACUUAAGUGCGGAAAUUUCAUGUUUUUUUUAUAGGUUUUGAUAAUUCAAUCAUCAAUUGAAGGGAAGUGAGGAGAUGCUUGCAUGAUUGCUGAUGAUUUAAUGUGGAAAUCAUGUGACAUGAAGGACCAAAGGAAGAAAUACACUCAAGAAAUACACUCAGUUGAUUGAGUUAGACCACAAGAUUGAUCAUGGAGUAUCCAGUUGGUGAAGAUUGGGCUACAAUAUUGGUUUAAGAGAAUUUUCAGAUUGAUUAUGGGUGGAAAAACAGAGAUUGCAGAAUCCUGUCCGUUGAGUUGUGAUUAUUAAAAUCACAAAGUGCAUUGUUAAUAGGUUGAUAUCAAAUUGUGCGAUGAGAACAGUCUAUCCGGAAACAUGGAUUAUUUUAAUGAGUCAAAAUAAAUCGAGCGAUCAGAUAAAUUUGUCUAGGAGUGUGGAGUAUUGCAGCAAAAAAAACCUUUGAAGAUGAAGAAUUCAAAUUGAUGUUAACAAAAUUUACAAAGGAGAUUGUUGUUCGUGAUUGCAAUGAACGUAAUUCAAUAGAGAGCUUGAUUUAAGGAAAGCAAUAUUGGCAUACUAAAUCAAGCCUAAAAAAAUAUAAGUUUCUAUAUUGUUAUUUGGUAGUGUUUUAGUCAAAUCAAGUUUUUAGUAAUUUUGUUGAAGUCAAGUUAUAGUAGUUUUAGUGUUUAGGAAGUUUUAUUUUAUUAAAAAAUUUCUUGCAGUUGUAAAACUUGUUUACCAAAUCAUCUAAUCUAUAAAUAAAGAGUCCUACUAUUAUGAUUAGUUGAAAAGAGUAAAAUUUAAGAGUCUUGUUAUUAUGUGUAACAAGUUAUCUAGUCUAUAAAUAAGAAGUCCUAUUAUUAUGGUUAGUUGAAAAGAGUGAAAUUUGAGAGUCUUGUUAUUAUAUAUAAUUAACGAUAUAUUGUUGAUAUUUAUUCCUCUUUCUCCUACACAUACUUGUAUGUGUGUAAGUUAUCUCCCCAUAUAUAUAUAUAUAUAUAUAUAUAUAUAUAUAUAUAUAUGAGUUUUUAUCAAAUAUAUAUCGUAUAAUUUUUUGGUUAAUUUUUUACUUCUACAAAAUUCAACGUGUUAAAGCAAAGUAGCCAACAUCUUGAAUCUAUCAAGUCAAUUACCAAAUUAUGCAGAAACAAAGGAUAAUUAAACUGCAAAUAGAACAUUUUAAUUUUUGUAUCUAAUGCAAAACGGUAUGCCUCUAUUGACAAAUUAUGUUUGAUAUGAAUUUAAAAUUAAGGGAGAAUUGUUCAAAACGUCCCUCACAUUUUGCAAAAUAACUUUUUUCGUCCCUCACUUUUAAAAAUAUAAUUUUACGUCCGUUACAAAUUCAUAUUGGUCAAAUUUGGUCCCUACUUAGGUUUCCGACUAGUUUUUGGUCGGAAUUCACCACGUGCCUUGCACGUGAUCAUAUUUUAAGGGCAAAAUUGUCAAAUGAAAUUUUAUAUAAUUUGAUUCAUAAUCUCUCACAUUUCAUAAAAUAAAAAUUUUCCCUUACAUUUCACAAAAUGAAUUUUUUCAUCAUUCACAUUUUUUAAAAUGAAUUUUUUCAUCUUUUAUUGAUCAUGUGUGUGCAAAAUUUUUCUUAAAUCCAUGUAUAUAUCUAUUUGAUUUCACUUGAACAGUACGAAUAGCAGAUGAAAUCAAAUAGAGAUAUAUUACAUACUAUUCGUACUGCUCAAGUGAAAUCAAAUAGAUAUAUACAUGUGUUUAAAAAAAAUGUUAGUUUUUCACUUAUAUUCAUUUUCUUUUACUCGAAAUUUGAAAAUAAAGAUGACAUUUAAUCCUAAAUAUUAUCGAGUGUUUAUAUCGAAUUAAAUUUGGAUAGAAAAAGUAAACAAAAGAAAAGCAUGACAAAAAGAAAUAAGUGAUUGGCACUUUCAAAUUAAGACAAUCACAAAGCAAGUAAUUCAACUGUUGGUCUUAAAAAUGUCGAGUAGAAAUUUCAGAUUUAAACUGAAAUUUGUUAGCACAAUUAUAGAAUUCGAGUUAGAACCUAUUAAUUAGAUGACCUUAUUAUACAACUCAAUAAAUAAAUUAUCACCAAAAGAGAAAGGUCACAAAUAUUGAAUAGGUUCAAAUGAUGAAAUCAUAUAAAUAUAUACGUGGGUUUCAAACAAAAUUAUUAGUUUUAAACCCCUAUAUACAUCUAUUGAAUAGCAUGUGUAUAGCUAUAAUUAGCAUGUUUAGAUGAAAUCCAAUAGAAAUAAAUUACAUGUUAUUCAUACUGUUCAGGUAAAAUCAAAUAGACAUAUACGUGGGUUUAUAGAAAAAAGCUAUUCGUACACAUGAUCAAUGAGGGAUGAAAAAAAUUCAUUUUGAAAAAUGUGAGGGAUGGAAAAAUUCAUUUUUUGAAAUAUGAGGAACGAAACAAUUCAUUUUGUAAAAUGUUAGGGACGAAAAAAUUCAUUUUGUGAAAUGUGAGAGACAAUGAAUCAAAUUAUGGAAAAAUUUGAUUUAAAAUUUUGCCCUCAAAAAAUGAUCACAUGCAAGUCAUGUGGUGGAUUCUGGCCAAAAACUAGUCGGAAACCUACGUAGAGAUCAAAUUUGGUCAAUGUGAAUUUGGAAGGGAUAUAAAAUUACACUUUUAAAAGUGAGGGACAAAAAAAGUCAUUUUGUAAAAUGUAAAGGACGUUUUGAACGAUUUUCUCUAAAAUUAACCUAACAAGUUCAGAUUUCAAGAAUUAGAGGUCUUGGAUUUUAAUUCUCAUACCUUUUCCCCGCUUCUUACGUUCCACCCCUUCCUCUGAUGGGGCAAAAAAAAAAACCGAUAGUUAAGGUUCAAAAGGUUCUAGUCUCGUCUUCCUUUUCAUUUAAAAAACUAGGGCAGAUGUCAAUGAGAGGCAAAAUUACAUAUCUGCCAAAGGCAAGAGUUGCUACUAAUUACUACGUGCUAUAACCCUUAUUCAAUGGUGAAAUUUUGAGAGUUUAAGAUUAUAUGAAUAAAAAAAUUUUACUAUCUUGCUUAAGACGUUCAAAAUUUUCUAACACGCUUUUAUUUCUACAGCACUUGGUAUAACAGAUAAUGCUCUUUGUGCCCUUAUUCGCCCCAAAUAAACAUUUGCAGGUCCACUCAAAUUUUUGUUUGAAUAGGAAGUUAUUUGAAAUAUUUAUUUGAAAAAAUUAAUAUAGCAUUUUUUGUGAUGUGAUGUAUGUGAGAUAGGUAUUGGAAAUUGUGUGUAUGAUGCAAACAAAGCAAAAAUUGAAAUUUUUAUCUAAAAUUUUUAUUUGAAAAUUACUACAGCAUUAUUGUGUUCUUAUGCACUCGUUAGACAGAUUCAUAGUUAAAGCGGAGUUUUUUAAUCUUUAUUAUUAUUAAGCUAAGUUGACUAAACACAUGGAAUUGGUAGUUGUUCACAAGGAAAACUAAGAAAUAAGAAUUGAUAGGAAAGGACGUUGAGAAGACUAAUGACAUCUUGGUCAAAUUGAUGGAAAAGGUUGAGAUGGAAGUCUGAAAAGCUAAAAGGCUGAAGAUCGACUAAAAAGCUUUUGAAUCCCACAUCGGUCUUGGGGGAUGGGUUUGGAUAGAUAAGUCCUCUGGACGUCUUCAAAAGUUACCGACUUUUGAAGAUUGCUCGGGAAUUUAGAUUUAUUUGCCGAAUUUUUACUUUCGUAAGAAAAUGUCAGAAGACUAAAAAGCUUCGAAGUUGAGAUGGGAGACUAAAAAGCUGAAGUCUUCCCACUGUGUUUUAGGUGCGGGGCUCCUUGCCUAUUCUAAUAUUCGAUUGAGUCAAUAAUGCAGUUUAAAUUGGACUUUUCGAAAUCAUGUCCGCAAAUGACAUCCAAUGAAUAAUGUAGGUAACAAACGUUAAAUAAAAAGGUAUCAAUUUUGAGGAGAAAUGCCAUUCCUAGUGCUAAUAAAUACAACCAAUCACUUCGGUUUUGGCAGACAAUAUCAAUUUCAGCUAUCUAGGUUUUCAUUUUUUAGAUAUCAAAAGCCAAAAGAAGCAAGAAAGAGAAUUAUAUUUAGUAUUGAUUUCUAAAUCAAGCAACCAUUGGUACCUGAAAGAGUCAAUUUACUCUCUGGUUGUUAGUUCAGAGCGAUUAAUUUAGCAAAUAAGCGAAAAUCUUGAACCGGUCAAACCAUUAUUAAAUUGACAAAAAAGAAAAAUGAAUAUUUUUUUCCUGGUUAUUAAAAUUGUUCAUAAGUGCUAUCUUCUCUGUAUUUUUUCCUAUGUUUCAACUAAUUACAUGGAGAUUAUUGAUAGUCAUGCUAGUAGUUGUACUAUGGUACUUCAAAAUUUUUCUUCUGCCAUUUUCAUUUUCAUUAUGAGCCUAACUAGGGAAACCAGUAAAUUAGCAGUUUUAAUCGGCAAUUAUCUUAGAAAAGCGUGGUACUUCUAAUUGAUCAGAUUCUAAGAGUGUGUUUGAUAAAACUGAAGGCUGAAAACUAAAAAUUGAGAACCAAAGUUUGAAUCCAUUAAGUUACUGAAUUAUUAAGUAUUAAAUUUGAUACAUUUGAAUAUAUAUCAUAAUAAGUGAUAAGUAAAUAGUUUAUCAUCUAUUUUUGGAAGCAAGUUUUGUUUAAUAUUAAUUAAUUCAGAUGUUCAAUUUUUAGUUAUUAAGUGCAUUUAAAUAUGUUAAAAUCUGAAUCUAUUAAAUUUAAAUGUUGAAUUGGGUUAUCAAACAGGGCGUAAGUACAAAAACUUUAUCAAAUUCAACCUCCGGAAUCUAAUCCUAGUAGUUAGUAACUAACACCAUAAGCAAAAGUAAAGCUUGAUUUUUUCACCAAUCAGCUACACCCCAUAUCCUACCUUUUAAAAUCAAUUCUUUACUUCAGUAAUUUCUUCAUGCUAAAUCUCUAUUUAACUUGAGAAUGAAUAUAAAAUAUUGUAUCAUUAGAUAAAAUUUCUUUUUUGUUAUUGUGGUUUGUCCUAAAUGUUAUCCACUAUUUGUCCUAAAUGUUAGGCUAAAUCCUUAUUUGAUUCGAUAAUGAAAAAACAAAUUAUUUUCUAUUAUUUGAACUUUGAUUUUCUAAUGGGUGCCUAGUAGUAACUCGUUAGUAUAUUUAAAUUACACAUAACUUAUUAUAUGAAUACAUAUAUUUACCGUUACUACAAUCCUAGCAUUUCGAGGCUUUCCCGAAUUAAUUAUAGUCUUGUAAAAAUAUAAACACUUAUAACGAGAGUAUGUAACCGUUAGUCAAAUCCUUUGGACUUUGCAGUUGAUUAAUUAGUACGUCACCGUCUUCAACUCCGCAAACCUUUAAAGGUGAGGAUUACGAGAAGAAAGAAAGGAUGAAUUGUUAAAUAUUACUUUGAACAAUCAACACUGAUCAAUACGUGAACGACUCAACACUGAUAUCUUGAAGACUGCCUGAUUGAGGACUUUGUACUUCAUUGGUACAAUAUAACUUUCACUAUCCAAGUUUCUAGAUGCUGAUCCGAGAACAAAUGAUGUAAAAGAGAAUAUUUAAAGGAACCAAGCAACAAUUAAGAACAGAAAGGUCAAAGCCAUGCUUUUAAAAUCAAAACGCAGCCAGAAAGAAUUAUAUGAUCUCUUAAUGUAUGCGUAAAUGAUUAAUGUUUUAAAGCAAAUAGACUUGAAGCAAUAAUUUAUAUUGCUAGUUGACUUUCAAUAUAAUUUCUACUAGUCUGAGGCUGCGCUACGCACAGGGUGAGCAUAUGUGACCCGUGUUAAUAGUAUGUUUGUCUGAAAAUAUUUUGUAAAGUUUGCUUUGUAAGUAUUGAUGUUGGAAAUAAUUUUAUAAUAUGUAAAAUAAUUGUGAGCUAGUUAUUUUUUAUUAAAUUAGGAUAAUUGGAGAGAAUUGUUGGUAGGUUACUGUAUAAAAUGUAGUUUAAUGUUAAUAAAAAUAUAGCAUAUAUGUGCUGAAGUAGCAGAAUAUGAGUAUAGUAUUGAACAGUAAAAGUGUAAUUUUUAUGGUUAUUAUUUUAUCUUGCAAGAACUUUUACAAGUUCAUCAUAAAAAAUGUGCAUCCGAUAUUCGUUCAUUCAUAAAUGAGAAAUUAUGAGAAUAUAGCAUGGACUAAUAACAUGGUAUCGUAGCAUUUUUUUCCAACCAAAGCUUCGAAAAUUAUCUUCAACUUUAAUGUCCCAGCUUGUGUGUUGGCAAUGAAAGAUGAUUAUGCUGUUUUUGUUUGGCAAUACAUGAGCAGCAUCAUUGGGUUAGAGUUCCGCAGAAUAAAAUAGAUGAUUAAAGUAAACUUGUGUGAUUUUUUUUUUCAUAUCAAAAUCCAAACAAAACUAGGGUUGUUUGAAAGGACAAUCAGCAUUUAAUGCUAGAGGAAAAGCAACAGUGUGAAUGGAAAACAAAAAAACGCAAACUCAAAAUGAGAAGAGGUUAGACGUAAAAAGAAGUGCCACACCAACUGCCUUGCCAAACCCUCUAUUCAUAGGAGAAAUUCUUCCAUGUGAAAGCCUUCGAACGAAUAGUAUUUGAAUGGAAAUGGCUGCUACGAAUUUGACUAAUAAAACAUACAACUCAAUAGUUGGGCUAUAUGCUAGGAUGCUCAAGAGGUAAAAAAAAAAAAUGUCCAUGUAGCUCUCAAAAUUUGACAGCACCAUAAAUGAUUUCACAUGGAUGUCAAAGACAUAUUUUAACACUUUUAUUAUUUAUUUUUUCCCAUCCUCCCGGAUGGAGUUCUUAUUAAGAUAGUCGAAUGAACCAGAAGUACAUAAAGAAACAGAGACCACCACGUACGUAUAUGGUCUGAAAUAAAACUAAAUAUCUGUUAUUGGCUUUCUUAAUUAUUGGUUUUCACUUUAUUAUUCAAACUUCCCAUCCUCCUCAG
This 32948-nucleotide long non-coding RNA is filed under the name Coffea arabica (coffee). Its description in RNAcentral is "long non-coding RNA (CARA_LNC008237)". Lineage: Eukaryota; Viridiplantae; Streptophyta; Magnoliopsida; Gentianales; Rubiaceae. The record is from RNAcentral.